Helianthus annuus (common sunflower) is the source of this 113-nucleotide non-coding RNA. Lineage: Eukaryota; Viridiplantae; Streptophyta; Magnoliopsida; Asterales; Asteraceae. The record is from Rfam.
UUUUGGGCUUAGAUGGCUGUGGAGCACAUGAAAACUCUAUAGUUAAGCGUGCUCAGAUGAGAGUAGUACUAGGAUGGGUGACCCCCUGGGAAGUCUCCACCGGGUAACAAAAA